GACGAACGCUGGCGGCGUGCUUAACACAUGCAAGUCGAGCGAGGCCCCUCCUUCGGGAGGGUGUCCUAGCGGCGAACGGGUGAGUAACACGUGGGCAACCUGCCCUCAGCUCUGGGAUAACUCCGGGAAACCGGGGCUAAUACCGGAUACGACCUCCACGGGCAUCUGCGGAGGUGGAAAGUUUUUCGGCUGAGGAUGGGCCCGCGGCCUAUCAGCUAGUUGGUGGGGUAGUGGCCCACCAAGGCGACGACGGGUAGCCGGCCUGAGAGGGGGACCGGCCACACUGGGACUGAGACACGGCCCAGACUCCUACGGGAGGCAGCAGUGGAGAAUAUUGCGCAAUGGGCGAAAGCCUGACGCAGCGACGCCGCGUGAGGGACGAAGGCCUUCGGGUUGUAAACCUCUUUCAGCAGGGACGAAGCGAAAGUGACGGUACCUGCAGAAGAAGCACCGGCCAACUACGUG
RNAcentral lists this ribosomal RNA (465 nucleotides) under uncultured bacterium. Its description in RNAcentral is "partial 16S ribosomal RNA". It matches the Rfam family "Bacterial small subunit ribosomal RNA", at positions 28 to 507 of the family's 1533-position model. The record is from RNAcentral.